Molecule: long non-coding RNA, 1374 nt
Organism: Chelonia mydas (Green sea turtle)
Lineage: Eukaryota; Metazoa; Chordata; Testudines; Cheloniidae
Exons: 3
Source: RefSeq, a predicted model, not a curated record
CUGAACUCCUCAGAUUGGCAUGAGCUCUCCUGCCAAGCCGUGUUUCCUCCAGAGAUCAGGCUGGAUUUGAAUAUACCUAUCCAUCCCUCAGAUGAUGAGACGAUAAAGACAUGUGGGAAACAGUCCUCAAGUAGCUCCCCAGACUCGAGGCCCGGGAGACCAGGCAAAUAUACAUCCCCCUGCUUCCCUCACAGUGUGAGAACACUGUCUCCUCAGCAUGGAUGAAAAGUAAGCGGCGGUGCCCGGGCCUAUCAGAUCUGUCAGCGCGGCGCCUGGCAAGAAGAGGGAAGGGUAAAUGCUAUUGUGUGCACCAUUCUGCUUGGUGGGUUCCUCUCCUCGGCAGGGGAGGGGGAAAGAAACACACACACACACACAACAAGGCACAGGGUGUACGACGCGGGGGCAGAGACAUUUGUUAUCGAAAUGGAAAUGCGGCUCUUUGUGGAUGAAGGUGUAUCUGCUUCCCAUUGUCUCUCGCAGCAGCCCGGUGAAAGGCUCCUUUGAUGGCUCCGUGUUUGUGCACCGGCUAUGAAAUUGCUUUAGAAGACAAUGAGCGCAUUUAUUGAUAAUGAAAAGGAGGGGCGGGCUGCGUUUCUCUAUUUCCCCAAGAGCAGCUGUCAAAGGCUUGCAGAGAAAAACUGGGAGACUGGGCCAGGCCGGCGAGCGGGUGAUGGACAGGGAGCCUCAUAGCUCCCGUACAGAGCUAAUGUGACCAUCUGGCCUGAUUUAACAGGGCUACUCUACUCUAACGCUUUAAAAAUCCUCCAGGCUGCUCAUGCUCUACCCAACUCAUCAGCUUCCAUUAGCGGUGAGGAGAAGAAUACCUCUGUCUGACAAUCCCUGCAUGGAGCCCAUUAUCCCACACACCGAGAAGCAACCCUCCUGGAGGAGAUACCAACCUGUUAAACCUCUGCAGACAGGCAUGGAGAGGACAUUCCAUAGCUCCCAGGGAGGCCUGGUGAAUGGGAGGAUGAAUUCCUGGGGCGCUCAUCUAGACCCAACAUUGGGUUUCAGGGAAUCUGGAGCGAAUGCUGAGUCUGGAGAAGCUCUGCUUCGGCUGUGUGUGUGUGGGGAGGGGGCUAUCAGAGGUGAUAUCCUGGAGAGGUGGGCAAUUUGCAGGAGCACAGUGAUUAUGGGGACCUUGUAUAGAUUCAAGUUAGAACAGAAGCAUAGAAUUGUAGGGUUGGCAGGGACCUCAGGCGGUCACUUCAUCCAGCCCCCCACCAGUGGCAGGAGUUUGAAGCCGAGGGCAUUUCUCAGACCUCCCUACAUUACAACUUAGGGUAGGAAGAACUCAAGCCUCAAGCUUAUUCCUGGAUUCUAGCGCUCACCAAAUGACCCUGGUUAGACCUUGGCAAGGGAAACUGAACAGAA